AGGAGCCUGUCGACUCACAAUCCCCCCUUGCUAUCUGCAAGUGAAGAAAGCACACUUGGAAAUCAUCGUCGUUCCCUGAUUACAGUUUGCUUAUCAAGGGAGGUGGAACACUUCCUCAAGCCUAUCUCAGGAGAUGGAAGUAACACACACACAUCUGUAAAGGCGUGUGUGUGUGUGGCUGUGUGUGCGUCUGUGUAAGUUGACGUAAAUCUGAUUUGAAAGCCAGGAAGAUUUUGUAGGUUGAAUUAGGAUGCAUCAUGCCUAUUUCCAAUAUGGUUGGAGUUACGUCACCACGGUCGCAGCCAAUGAAAACCCGGCUACAGGUGACGCAACACACCCGAGAAGGUCAACGCGCCUCGAGCAUUUCCGACUCCUGUCCGCCAGCCAGUGAAAAGUCAAGCAUCCUCCGGGUCCUGCAGGAGCAUCCGUAAGCGCCCGCACGACCACGAUAUAAAGAGAAGGACUCACCACCAAGAUUUUUACGGGCUGCUCUGUGAGCAAGAGCCCGUGCUGACACAAGGUCAGCUUAAUCAAACAACAAACAACAACCACCAAGAUUCAGUCCUCCAGCAAUCAUCGCUGUGACCAUGCCCUGGCAGAUCUGGGCGAAACGUCAGAGAGAGAGAGAGAGAGAGAGAGAGAGAGAGAGAGAGAGAGAGAGAGAGGGAGAAACUUGUAGUAGUA
Molecule: long non-coding RNA, 684 nt
Organism: Macrobrachium nipponense
Lineage: Eukaryota; Metazoa; Arthropoda; Malacostraca; Decapoda; Palaemonidae
Exons: 3
Source: RefSeq, a predicted model, not a curated record